AUACGAAGGGGGCUAGCGUUGUUCGGAAUUACUGGGCGUAAAGCGCGCGUAGGCGGAUUGGUCAGUUAGGGGUGAAAUCCCAGGGCUUAACCCUGGAACUGCCUCUAAUACUGCCAGUCUUGAGUUCGGGAGAGGUGAGUGGAAUUCCUAGUGUAGAGGUGAAAGUCGUAGAUAUUAGGAAGAACACCAGUGGCGAAGGCGGCUCACUGGCCCGAUACUGACGCUGAGGCCCGAAAGCGUGGGGAGCAAACAGGAUUAGAUACCCUAGUAGUCC
This 274-nucleotide ribosomal RNA is filed under the name uncultured bacterium. RNAcentral's name for it is "partial 16S ribosomal RNA". It matches the Rfam family "Bacterial small subunit ribosomal RNA", at positions 523 to 796 of the family's 1533-position model. The record is from RNAcentral.